Molecule: ribosomal RNA, 253 nt
Filed under: uncultured bacterium
Lineage: Bacteria
Description: partial 16S ribosomal RNA
Rfam family: Bacterial small subunit ribosomal RNA
Source: RNAcentral
UACGAAGGGGGCUAGCGUUGUUCGGAAUCACUGGGCGUAAAGCGCACGUAGGCGGCUUGUUAAGUCAGAGGUGAAAGCCUGGAGCUCAACUCCAGAACUGCCUUUGAUACUGGCAGGCUCGAGGAUGGCAGAGGUUGGUGGAACUCCGAGUGUAGAGGUGAAAUUCGUAGAGAUUCGGAAGAACACCAGUGGCGAAGGCGGCCAACUGGGCCAUUACUGACGCUGAGGUGCGAAAGAGUGGGGAGCAAACAGG